Long non-coding RNA from Oreochromis niloticus (Nile tilapia), 2093 nucleotides. RefSeq lists it as uncharacterized. NCBI's taxonomy places the organism in Eukaryota, Metazoa, Chordata, Actinopteri, Cichliformes, Cichlidae. The record is from RefSeq and is a predicted model, not a curated record. The transcript is spliced from 2 exons.
UUGGUAGUUAUAUACAGUCUGUAUAAGUGUGGUUAAUCCAAUGAAGAUUUGUAAGGAGAUGGCAGUUACUGUGAAUUCACAGCAGUUACACAGUGAUUAGUAAUAAACAGAGCCAGUGAGAGUGAGUGGAUUUAAGAAAGUCAGUGACUCAGGUGUGUCACUUGGUUUGUCAUCUGUUUGUGAGACUGGAGGAGACGUAGAAAUCUUUUGUUUUAAAUCUUAGUUAGGAAGAUUCCUGUUUGAAAACAAGCACUUUUUGUGAGAAAUGCAAGAAGUACAUCUGCAGAAAGCACACAGUUACAUUCUGUCCAUCAUGUGGACAAAAUUGAAAAUGUUGAGCAUUGAAAAACUGAGAACGUUGGGCAAGUUCAACAGAAAUGUGUUUGUAAGAACGAAAAACCAAAUUGUUCCUAAAAUAGUUAUGGAAAGUCUAACUGUUGUAUGUCUGUGUUCUACAUGUUUAUCUGAUGGAAAAUAACAUUGCUAUUGUUUUAUUGCAGUUUUUGGAUAAUUCUGAGUGGAUUUACACAGUACGGAUCUAAAUGACCCGCAACAAAAUCAAUGUCAUUUUUUUGUUUUUCAACAUAAUACAAGGGUUAAUUUCCAAAACGUGCAUAUGAUCUUCAAUUUGUAGCAGAUCCACUAUCACACAGCAGCUGGAGCAGUCUCCAAUGGAGGUCAGUCCACUGCUGCCACCUGUGGCCAAGUACCACAGCCUACUACUAGAUUAACUUGUGACACAUCUGCACCUGCUGCUAUGAUCACAUUGAGUAGAGGCUGAGUGGCUGCACUUACCCCUGGUACAUCCAAAUCUACCCACAAACAUGUUGAAAGAUGCAAUGGCAGCAAUGUGGAUUGUCAACACUAAAAACAAUCAGUAAGCAAAGACAACAGGGAUCACUUUUUUUCUGUUUAUUUAGCACCCACAACAUUUGUAGUCGCCUUCUGCACAGGGGAAGUCCACACACACUGUGUGGUACCACUUUCCACAGAAGGUGCAUUCAAUGUGCAAGACUGAAUGAGAUUGUCAGGGUCAUUGUCUGACUGUUUAUUACUAAUCACCUGCUGUACAUUCACAGUAACUGCCAUCUCCUUACAAAUGUUUAUUAGAUUAACCACACUUAUACAGACUGUAUAUAACAACCAACUCUAAAAUGUUUGUUCGCAGAGAAAAGACACAGACAGACUACGCUAACGACAUGUGAUGUUACAACACUAGUGAAAUAUUAGUGUCAUUUCAUUCUUUUCAAAGGUUUAUUUGCAUGACGCACAAACAGACACAAUUGAAAGGUACAAAUGUGUUGUGCAUGAAACGAAUUCAAACGUGCUGCAGAUGUGUGUCACAAGUUGAUCUGGCUGUAGGCUGUGGCACUUGGCCAGAGGUGGCGCUGGUUGACUCGACUCCAUGUUAGUGCACAAAGUAAACUGCUCGCUUUAGUUGUGAAGCAAAAACGCUGAAUUCGGAGAAAUAAACCGUGCGAGGGGAACGAUAACGACGACAAGAGUCUCCCGAUCGUUUACUCUUGGUGUCCUGUGAACAACAUCGGCGUGGUGUUAAUUGUUUGCUGUUUUCGCGAUCGCGUCGCGCGUGAGGAUAUCACCAGCAGCUCCUGAAACGCAAGACUGCCACACAUCUGUUCGACUAACGCCAGUUGAUCUAAACGCCAGUAGAUCUGGAACACAGGUCGUAACCCAGGAUCUUCUGGGCUACGGUGAACAUUUCUUUAACGUUGGGGUAUUUCAAAAGUCCUCUGCCCAUGCCCACAAACUGGCUGCCCUGACCGGGGAAGAGGAGCACGGAGCAGCCGCUGGGGUCUUUUUUGGGUCUCCGCUGAGGCGCCGCGGCUGGCUCGCUGUUCGGGGAGAAGCGGGGGCUUCAGCCGGAGGAGGGUAAUCUCCAGCCGCGGAACCGGGCUUGUUGGUGGACAGCGUCCUGCUCAGAGAGACCAGCGACCUGACCUUCCCUCUGGAAGAUGCUGCCAUCCUGACUGCCACUGAUGCCAACAUGAGCUGUUCCUCAUCCAACGACGUGUCUGCGGAUGAAAUAAGACGCACAGCCCGCCCGGACAAACUGUAAUCACCGAAAGAGUCAA